RNAcentral lists this ribosomal RNA (496 nucleotides) under uncultured bacterium. Its description in RNAcentral is "partial 16S ribosomal RNA". It matches the Rfam family "Bacterial small subunit ribosomal RNA", at positions 354 to 837 of the family's 1533-position model. The record is from RNAcentral.
UGGGGGAAUUUUGGACAAUGGGCGAAAGCCUGAUCCAGCAAUGCCGCGUGUGUGAAGAAGGCCUUCGGGUUGUAAAGCACUUUUGUCCGGAAAGAAAUGGCUCUGGUUAAUACCUGGGGUCGAUGACGGUACCGGAAGAAUAAGGACCGGCUGACUACGUGCCAGCAGCCGCGGUAAUACGUAGGGUCCAAGCGUUAAUCGGAAUUACUGGGCGUAAAGCGUGCGCAGGCGGUUGUGCAAGACCGAUGUGAAAUCCCCGAGNUUAACUUGGGAAUUGCAUUGGUGACCUGCACGGCUAGAGUGUGUCAGAGGGGGGUAGAAUUCCACGUGUAGCAGUGAAAUGCGUAGAGAUGUGGAGGGAAUACCGAUGGCGAAGGCAGCCCCCUGGGAUAACACUGACGCUCCAUGGCACGAAAGCGUGGGGAGCAAACAGGAUUAGAUACCCUGGUAGUCCACGCCCUAAACGACGUGCAACUAGUUGUUGGGGGAUUCAUUU